This 489-nucleotide ribosomal RNA is filed under the name Urocystis ulei. RNAcentral's name for it is "LSU rRNA". It matches the Rfam family "Eukaryotic large subunit ribosomal RNA", at positions 142 to 605 of the family's 3401-position model. Lineage: Eukaryota; Fungi; Basidiomycota; Ustilaginomycetes; Urocystidales; Urocystidaceae. The record is from RNAcentral.
AUUGUAAACUCGAGAAGUGUUAUCCGCGCCGGACCAGGUUCAAGUCCCUUGGAAUAGGGCAUCAUAGAGGGUGAAAGUCCCGUGCUUGAUCUGGAACCCCCSGGGCUUUGUGAUGCGCUCUCAAAGAGUCGAGUUGUUUGGGAAUGCAGCUCAAAAUGGGUGGUAAAUGCCAUCUAAGGCUAAAUAUCGAGGAGAGACCGAUAGCGAACAAGUACCGUGAGGGAAAGAUGAAAAGAAACUCUGAAAAGAGAGUUAAACAGUACGUGAAAUUGCCGGAAGGGAAGGGUAGGAAGUCAGACAUGCCUUUGCAGAUUCAGCCUUGUCUUUGGACUUGGUGCAUUUUUGUAAUGGCAGGCCAGCGUCGGUUUGUGCCGCCAGAUAUAGGUUUGGGGAAUGUGGCUUUGCCUUUGGGCAAAGUGUUAUAGCCCUUUACUGAGUAUGGCGGUGUGGACCGAGGAACGCAGCGCACCCAUUAGGRCGGGCCUUCGG